This is a non-coding RNA of Danio rerio (zebrafish), 1243 nucleotides long. The record is from RefSeq and is a predicted model, not a curated record. NCBI's taxonomy places the organism in Eukaryota, Metazoa, Chordata, Actinopteri, Cypriniformes, Danionidae.
AAAAAAUUCCUGUAAAUUUACGGUGAAAAUAAACAGCAAAAUACUGUUUUAAUGUAAAAACAGCAAGUUGCCGUUUUUUACAAUGCAUCAUGGGAAGACUUGCUCACUUCAGUUUGAGUGGUUGAGCAACAACAGUAAGGGCACUGUAAUUUAACGGUUUUAUACCAUAUUUUUUUCUGUGUACACAAGACGCCAUUUUGGAUUAUCUACAUGAGGUACUUACAAGAAAGGAUAAUUGGAUAAUUUGGAUAUUUUCGACGAGGAUCCGACCGUGUGAAUGUCUUGAGAAGAGAAAGGGGGUAACUUUAGCCUAAUUUAGCAAGCUAACGAUAGCUGGAGGACUCAUUUUCACAUCACACACAGAUACACCUUUUCAUUUGCAACUCCGGUGCUUCUAAAAAUAACAUUUUAAGAUCGAGUGAGACCUUUGUUAUUUUUACGUUAUUGCAGUUGGUUUAUAUAGAAAUUGACUAGAGUUACGAUCAGAUUUUAUGCUUGGUAACGUUACCUAAAGUGGCAGAGCUUUUAAUCUUUUUGAUGAUGUGAGUAAGGAGUAACUGCUAUUAUAAUGAAAAUUCUUUACAAUUCAUUUUUGACCAAUAGAUGUCUGCCACCACUGCUAAUCUUGAAAAGAUGGGUAACCUGCCUGUGACUCCUCAAUUGAUUCUGCCUGGUUCAGAUGAUACUUUGGGCCAGUGGAUAAAACAAUGGAUGAUCAGCACGGAAGGCAGAGUAAUCUGUGAGGGUGAGCAUGCACACUGGAAUUCCUUCAAAGAUGCUUUGCUGGCAUAAAUCCAGAGAGGGGAACCAAGGCUGUGAGAGGAAAUGUGACGUCAAAAAAAACUGGCAAGACAGUUCAGAAGAAGACCAUGACUGUAAACCCCAAGGUUUCAAACCUUUUAAAGAAACUAAUGGACUUUGAAUGGGACUUUAUUUAAAAUGCAGCUAGCUUGAACCCCCUACUUUUGCAACACAGAGGCCUUUUUUUCUUUAUUUGCUGAAGCUCAUUUUGGGGCUAUAUAUUUUUAUAUUUUAUAUCCAAGACUAAAUUGUAAAGUGGCUAUUUAUUAAUUUUUUCUAUGACAUUCGGUAAGUUGCUUCUUGUUGUACAAUGCUGAAAACCAUCUUAACAUUUCUGGAGAACUUACAAUUUUUGCCUGUUCUUUGGCUUAAUAUUUUCACAAACACAAUGCAGAUUUUAUUUUGUGUUGUUUGAAAAUAAAAAAAUGUGAAAUAUAACUUG